CUGUAUUUUUGUUAAAAAAAUUAUUAAAUAUCUAUAAAUAUCUAUUUGUGAACCCAAUUAUUAUUGUAUAUUAAUUUGAAAUUGCGACAGAAACCCAUAAAUUUGAAAUCCUGGAUCCGCCUCUGGAUGGAAGUGCCCAUUUAAUGCUGCCAAAAACCGUCUGCUGAGUACUGACUGGCACAUAAUCACUCAAUCUAUAAUCG
Molecule: long non-coding RNA, 203 nt
Filed under: Nicotiana benthamiana
Lineage: Eukaryota; Viridiplantae; Streptophyta; Magnoliopsida; Solanales; Solanaceae
Description: long non-coding RNA (NBEN_LNC040682)
Source: RNAcentral